ACAUUUUCAGCAUGCAUUAUUUAUUACUUUUCUUUCACUGAUUUAUUGUCCUAAAGCAUGUAAUCCAAUAUGGAGAGGAGCACACACAUGCCUACACAGAUGUCCUGGUAACAUCCUUGUGUUCCACAAAAAACAAAACACAUAACAACCCCAAACGUGCAGGCGGCCUCGAUUUGGAGGGACCACUAUAAACAUCUUAAUCUGGUUUAUCUUUUCCUCUCUCUCUUCCCCUUGUUCUUCUCCCUCUUUGCAAGAUGCAUAAAUAGAAUAAAAUCGUUAUCCUCCAAAGUGACAAUCUUAGUCAUUGCUUAGUGAGCAUCAUCUAUAUGUCAGGGCCUUAAUAUAUGAUAUUACUGAUCCUGCAGAAGAAAAGAGCAUUUCCUCCAUUUUGCAUGCAUAGAAUAGUGGAGGCUCAGAGACUGUAAGUGACUUUCCUAAAGUCACACAGCUAGGAAUUCCCAAGCUGAGAUUAGAAUUUGGGUGUUUGGCUGCUGAGAGCAUGUUUUAAUUGGUAAAUUGCACUGCCUCAGUGCAAGGUUGCAAAGUUGAUGAAGGCAGGGCCUCUGUUCAAAUCAAGUUACUGAGUCCAGAACCUGAGAUCUUCUCCACUAACUUCGCUGCUCUUCAACAUAUAAAUUCCUCUGAAAUCGGUCAACUCUGUGACUUGAAAAAGGAAACAAGCAACGUCACCUUUGGCUCUGGCUCUGCCUUGCCCCAUAACUCUUUCUUUUCCUUCCAGCUUCAUUGAGACAGAUUCACAUACGAUACACACACCCGCUUCUUGAGGCUUACCUGGAGAAACUCCCAGCAGCCAGUGUUACGAAGUGAAUAACCACAGUAACAAGUAAACAUCUCGAGACACGGUCAACCAAACAGAGCUACACACUUUCUUUUCUUUUUUGCUACUGCUCUCUUCCCCUGAGGGGAGUUAACAAGAAGCAGGACUACAUUUCUCUACGUUUCUUUGUCGGCUUCCCUUCCAAGGAGGAAAUGAGUACAAAGCGAGCACUGAGCUUUUCUGAAACUGUUGACGAGGUCUUGGUAACACAACAUAUACCGGAGAACCUGAUUUCUGGACCCAAACACCCUCUCAGAUGGAACAUUAAGUUCUGAAGGUCAUGCUGCAAGAUACAGAGAACAGCAAAACUGUGGAGUCGUCAGAGGACAUGACUUCAUGGACGUCUCUGUACCCAGGGGAGGGGAAAAAGAUCUCGGAGCGGUGAUAAAACCCAUGUCACCAGUAUUGGAUCAAGGAAAUCAGCUCUGGGCUUUCCUGACCUGCACCUUUAAGAAUUACAAGAACAGGUAAAUCCACGAGAUAGACCCCUCCCCCAGAGCCAGCCCUUCUUUCUAAGCCACGGUAAAUACCAAAGAAGAGGACAGGAAACCUUGCAAUCCUUUAUUUUCAUCAGACGCACUAACAGGAAAGAAGGGGGCGGGGGACGGAACAGGACUGCUUUGACUUUUCGGUUAACUUGAAACCUCGAUGCAUUGCCAAUUAUGGCAGCUGUAGUUGCUUUAUCUUUUGGGGACAUGAGCAGUUCACGAAUUGUGAAUUUUAAUUUUCCAGUCCAAGUUCAGACGGCUGGUUAAGCAAUGUCUAGAAGCUUCUGAAGGGUAGUCACUAAUUAAUGAACAUUAAGCCCUAGUUUUGGAGACAUCUGAAACAAAGCAGGACAAAGCUCUCUGCUCUGUGUACUUCGAGGACGGAUCGGAAAGCUCCAGAGGAGGGAAGAAAAUUGACGGUAAACAAAGAGGCCGGUCCUCUCUUGAGUUCCCAUGAUUCACGAAUUCAUCAAGUGGAGGGAUUUUUCUCUUUAAGUAUGACUUUUAUUCUGAGAAAAAGCUAUCAUUUGAGGAGUCAACUAUGUAUGUGCUAUUUAGCCAUAUAAAUGUAAGUGUUAGCAUCUUACUAAUCCAAUGGAAAACUGUUUUGUUCUAACAGUUUCAAAACUUCCCCAUCCCUCAAACCAACAGUACCCAUUACUUUAAACACCUCAGUGUCGAGCAAUUGUUCAAAAAUGUGUCAGGCUACCAGUAAUUUAAGUCCUGUCAAAAAUAAAUCUCAGACACUCACUUCUUCCAGUCAGUGACUUGAAAAACACGCCCACAUGUCAAUUACCGGAAGCUGUAGCUGUGUUUCUUUGUUCUGAAUUUGUGUAAACAGAAAAAGGUUCUAUCUCAGUAACAACUGUUUUCUAAAACCUAUAUAAAUGUUUACGUGAACUUCACUGCAACAGCAUCUAACAGAAGCAAUAAAAGCCACCACAUUGGUAAACGCACGCGCAGGCACGCGCGCGCGCACACACACACACACACACCCCUCUGUAUGUGCCUCUGGGUAAUAAAUGUACAACUGUGAAAGAACAAUGUAUUGACUUGUGAAUUAUUCUUUUCCCAGAGGCCUGACCUUAAAGUAUUUACAUUUUAUAUUGUAAAUCAAAAUGAUCUACAUUUUUAGAAGCUAACCAUCACUGGCUCCUUUCCGUAUUAUCCAAGAGAUUGCUUCACAGAUAAUUUCAAAAUCACGGGUAAAUAAAUGAGUAGAAAAAACUGUGACUAUAAAACAGAAAUAAUUCACAAAAUUGGCAGCUAAUUAAGAUAGGCUAUUAGACAGAGUUUCUCUGUGUAAAAUUGUUCUCUACAACUCAGGCUGAUAAAUCUUGUGAAUAGAAUCCUGCCUUUACUGCAAUGUAUAUAUGGUUGUAAAUAGCUAUAAAUCAAGCUAUAGAUUAGGAGUGUGAUUUUCUAAUGUUUUGCCUUUCUAAUAUAAGUUUUUUUUAAUUGAAGAAGAUUGUAAUCAUUUAAUCAUAAAAUCACCAAUGCCCACUACAUUCUAUAGUCUCCAUGAAGGUUUUUCUUGCUAAAUCAAAUGAUUGAAUUUCAACGAGAGAAGAAAAGAAAAGUAAAUUUGGCUGACCUGAUCUUAAUUGUUCCCUCCCUCCUCCCUGGUUCUCAGCUGUACGCACUAAAAAAUAAAUACAACUCAGAAAAAUACACAGAUGGACAAUGCAAAGAUGUUGGAAUGAGACCCUAAGUGGUCUUCUUUCCAGGAGUAAAUUAGAAUAAGUUGAUUUUCAUUAAGCAGGAACAGAUCAAUAUUUCAUUAUUAACAUGGUGACAAUUUCAUGUUAAUAAGAAGUCAUCUUUUUUCAAGCGUCUAACUGCCAAGCCGCUGGAUUAAUGGCUUCCCUUAUCCAGUGGAGUCUCUUUACAUUUCCUCUCUUGUUCUGUGGACACUUGAGCAGCUGUGUGUGUGUGUGUGUGUGUGUGUGUGUGUGUGUGUGUGUGUGUGAAAGCAUUGACCUUUUGCUAGGCAGGAUUAGGAAACACCUACUAAUGUUUCCUUCAGGAAGCAAGGCAUUUUGCUAACCUGUUUCCCCUUAGGUUUCUCUUCCCCAGAAUGUUCCCCAUCAACUUGUUUGUCAUUGGGAUUUAGAUAAUGAUCCUGUUUGGCAGACAGUAGUUUUACGGAUAGAAGUAAAAUCUUUUUUUUUCUUUCGGGAAGGACAAUACUAAGAUAAAUCAUUAAUUAAAGGGGCUGCAUAUGGGACAGAUGGAAUUCUACCCAUGUGGCUGCCUCCCCCAACAGUUGAGGGGUAAAAAGCCCCAUAAAUCACUCAUGGUCUAGCAGCCUUCAAUAGGGACCGUCUUGCCCCUUCUGAGUGAUGAUAAACAACACGCACUCCCAGCGCAGCCCAUUAGGUAUUCCAGAGGAGGUGAACUAUGAGAUAACGCAUUUAUCCUUCUUGGGAAGGUAUCUCUCCAUGUUUCACGUGGCGCAGAGAAAGCAUCGCCAAUUGAAUGACGGCUAAUGAGGAUUAAUGCAUUAUUCCACGGAGGAUUACGGGCUCUUCUCUUUUGUGCAGUAGUUAAAUAAUAACAAAAUGAGAUAAAAUGGCUCCUGAUGCUUCCCUGAGCGGUAAAGCCGACACCAUGUACACUUGCCUUGACUUUUCUUUCCUUUUCUUCCUCAUUUGUUCUUCUAUUUUUUUCUUUUUUUGAGGUCUCUUAGGUGUUCCUCUUCUAAAUCCAGUCGGCAUGGUCUUUGCCUCUCAGCUCUUUAUGGGGACAAGAGCAACAGGAAAUCUUCAACAGACUCCUUCACAAAGUCAAAAAGUUGCUAGGUACUAAAAACAAAAGGUCACCCAAAAAAGGGACAAUUUUCCCAAGUAUUAAAAGUCACAUGAGUGUCUUAGAGGACUUAACCAUACCGUAAUCUAACUUUGUAUUGAGGAAAUCUUUUAUUUAUUCAUUCAAUAAUGAUUUAUUAAGGACCUACCCUGGGCCAGAGAACCUUUGCUUCUAUCUUAUGCAAAUGGAUUGAUACGAUUUAAAUAAUCCCACAAAGAAAUGGCCCACUGUGGUAAAUGCCACAGAAGGAGGACCUUGGGGGAUGCCAGAGGAACUAAGUCUGGAUUUCAAGGCAGGCUUUGCUACGAAAGUAACACUUGACCUGAGGAUGAAGCUGCUAAGUGUGGAAGGGAAUGAGGAGAGGCAGACAAUUCAGAAAGAAUGUAUUACUUGCCAAGAAAAAAGUCCUAAAGUGGAAAGAGGCAUGAUAAUUCAAGUAAUUGAUAGAAGGUCAGUGAGUUUGGGGUACAAAAAAAAUGAGGGGGACAAGGACAAAAGUUGGGGCUGGGAAGAUAGCCAGGGGUCCGGGUUUGUUGGUGAUGGUAAA
Non-coding RNA from Equus caballus (horse), 4681 nucleotides. NCBI's taxonomy places the organism in Eukaryota, Metazoa, Chordata, Mammalia, Perissodactyla, Equidae. The record is from RefSeq and is a predicted model, not a curated record.